Long non-coding RNA from Ochotona curzoniae (black-lipped pika), 1302 nucleotides. RefSeq lists it as uncharacterized. NCBI's taxonomy places the organism in Eukaryota, Metazoa, Chordata, Mammalia, Lagomorpha, Ochotonidae. The transcript is spliced from 3 exons. The record is from RefSeq and is a predicted model, not a curated record.
ACAAGAGGUCUAUUUAAGUGACCUGCAGGAUACUCUCCAGUAGGUUAGAUUGAAGAGAAGUUGGGAAACAAGGAACACUAAAUAUGGCAUAUCUUCACUGAUAGUAUAUUGUAAGCUUAAUUUCAUUGUUUCUAGCUUUUGGUCUAACAUUUAAAACAUCACUGUGGCUCCAACUGUUGAAUCUGGGUAAACAAAAUUAUUAGCAUUGCAGCAAAUUUCAGAAAUGAAAUAUUUGAAAAAUAGCAAGCUGGUCAGGGAAAGAAAAAAGAAUCAAAUGCUUCAGCAGAACCUGCUUUCUGAAGAUAAAGUCAAAAUAUGAGCAUAUAAAAUGUUAGUGCCUGUUAGUAAGUUUCCAGAAAACAAGUGAAGAGUUGGGCUUUAAGAGUGGGAGUAAUAGUGAUUUUUACCCUCCCCCCCCCCAUUUAUAGACUGUCUUACUGUUUCAGGACCAUUUCUUUUUGCAUUAAAAUUCAGGAAGACCAAUUUAAAAUAACAAAUUACAUCAAAGGAAAUCUGGAAUAUAUAAACAUCUCUUAGGAUAGAUUGUUCUGCCACAGGUAGUAUGGUGCAUAUAGGAAAUAUUUUAUACCACAAAAUGUUAAUUUAAUGAUAUUAAAUUCCAGUGAGCAGACAUUGCCAUAUUUGGAAGGGAAUUAGAGUAUCUGGAAGGAAAUUCGACCAUCCCUCCAUCCUCUGGACUAAGAAACCUGUGAAACCUCUGCUAAUCACCAUCCUACCCUCUGCUUCUGAAAGUUGAAAUAUUUUAGGAAUCUCAUGAGCGAAAUCAUGCAGCAGUUCUGUGACUACUUGUUUUACUUAGCACAGAGUCCUCAUGGUUAAUCCAUAUAAUUUCAUUUGGCAAGAGACUUCUUUUUAAAGAGUUGCUUUCUGGUGUCUUCAUUUCAAAUGCAACAAGUCCUACGCACACGUCUUGUAAUCCAAAUCUAGUGGCGAUAAAGUCCCUCUGAACAUCUGAAUUUCCCCUUCAUCUCUGAGGGUUGAUUUGGAUGGCCAAGCUGCUCUGAGUACUUUCGAUGUGGGACCACUGCAGUCUCUCUUGGACGAUUCUUCUGAGAAAUCUGCCAAUAGUUUCAUAGAAGUUCCCUGACAGAUGCUGGGCUGCCUUGGAAAUUCUUCAUCUUUUGUCAAUUUGGUCAUAAUAUGUCUUAGUAUGUAUUUCCAGAGUAUUUUUUUUUUCUCUGAACUUCAUGAAUUGAGAUGUCCAGUUUUCUCCUAACACUGAUGAGAUUUCUGCCAUUCUUUUUUUUUUUUUUUAAGAUGUAUUCAUUUUUAUUGCAAAGU